Molecule: ribosomal RNA, 497 nt
Filed under: uncultured bacterium
Lineage: Bacteria
Description: partial 16S ribosomal RNA
Rfam family: Bacterial small subunit ribosomal RNA
Source: RNAcentral
GAUGAACGCUGGCGGCGUGCCUAAUACAUGCAAGUCGAGCGAACAGACGCGGUGCUUGCUCCUCUGCCGUUAGCGGCGGACGUGUGAGUAACACGUGGAGACCCUCCCUAUAAGACUGGGAUAACUUCGGGAAACCAGUGCUAAUACCUGUUAAUAUAUUGAACCGCAUGGUUAAAUAGUGAAAGUCGGUUUUGCUGUCACUUAUAGAUGGAUCCGCGCCGCGUUAGCUAGUUGGUAAGGUAACGGCUUACCAAGGCGACGAUGCGUAGCGGACCUGAGCGGGUGAUCGGCCACACCGGAAUGGAGACACGGUACAGACCACGACGGGAGGCAGCAGUAGGGAAUCGUACGGAAUGGGCGAAAGGCUGACGGAGCAACGCCGCGCGAGGUAUGAAGGGCUGCGGAUCUGAAAACUCUGUUAUUAGUGAAGAAGAAAUGUGUAAGGAACGAUGCACGUCUUGACGGUACCUUAUCAGAAAGCCACGGCUAACUACGUG